GCGUACCAUGGUGUAGUGUUAUCACAUCGCCUAACACGCGGAAGGUGCCAUGUUCGAAACCUGGUGGGUACA
Molecule: transfer RNA, 72 nt
Filed under: Trichonephila clavata
Lineage: Eukaryota; Metazoa; Arthropoda; Arachnida; Araneae; Nephilidae
Description: tRNA-Val
Source: RNAcentral